UAUGGGCUAAUGAUGAAAUCUUAUAUAUCGUAAAUGGGUAAUUUGCGUCUGAAUCUUUCAUUGAUGCUAUCAACCUUGGAGAACUGAUGCCCAUA
Molecule: non-coding RNA, 95 nt
Organism: Solanum lycopersicum (tomato)
Lineage: Eukaryota; Viridiplantae; Streptophyta; Magnoliopsida; Solanales; Solanaceae
Source: Rfam